GCCGGGGUAGCUUAGCCUGGUUAGGGCGCCAGACUCAUAAUCUGGAGGUCGCGGGUUCGAAGCCCGCCCCCGGCA
This 75-nucleotide transfer RNA is filed under the name Candidatus Bathyarchaeota archaeon. RNAcentral's name for it is "tRNA-Met". It matches the Rfam family "tRNA". From Rfam's summary of the family: Transfer RNA (tRNA) molecules are approximately 80 nucleotides in length. Their secondary structure includes four short double-helical elements and three loops (D, anti-codon, and T loops). Further hydrogen bonds mediate the characteristic L-shaped molecular structure. tRNAs have two regions of fundamental functional importance: the anti-codon, which is responsible for specific mRNA codon recognition, and the 3' end, to which the tRNAs corresponding amino acid is attached (by aminoacyl-tRNA synthetases). tRNAs cope with the degeneracy of the genetic code in two manners: having more than one tRNA (with a specific anti-codon) for a particular amino acid; and 'wobble' base-pairing, i.e. permitting non-standard base-pairing at the 3rd anti-codon position. Lineage: Archaea; Thermoproteati; Candidatus Bathyarchaeota. The record is from RNAcentral.